Molecule: non-coding RNA, 71 nt
Organism: Potamilus streckersoni
Lineage: Eukaryota; Metazoa; Mollusca; Bivalvia; Unionida; Unionidae
Source: the annotation of a GenBank genome assembly
GAUGGCCUAGUGGUUAGAGCGUCGGCCUCGGAAGCGGGAGGCCGCGGGUUCAAAACCCGACGUAUCUUUCA